GACGAAAGCUGGCGGCGUGCUUAACACAUGCAAGUCGAACGAUGAACCCGGAGCUUGCUCCGGUGGAUUAGUGGCGAACGGGUGAGUAACACGUGAGUAACCUGCCCUUGACUCUGGAGUAACUGCGGGAAACUGUAGCUAAUACCGGAUACGACUCUCGGCGGCGUCGCCAGGGGGUGGAAAGCUUUUGCGGUGUGGGAUGGGCCCGCGGCCUAUCAGCUUGUUGGUGGGGUGAUGGCCUACCAAGGCGACGACGGGUAGCCGGCCUGGGAGGGUGACCGGCCACACUGGGACUGAGAUACGGCCCAGACUCCUACGGGAGGCAGCAGUGGGGAAUAUUGCACAAUGGGCGCAAGCCUGAUGCAGCGACGCCGCGUGAGGGAUGACGGCCUUCGGGUUGUAAACCUCUUUCAGCACAGACGAAGCGCAAGUGACGGUAUGUGCAGAAGAAGGACCGGCCAACUACGUGCCAGCCGCCGCCGUAA
Molecule: ribosomal RNA, 485 nt
Filed under: uncultured bacterium
Lineage: Bacteria
Description: partial 16S ribosomal RNA
Rfam family: Bacterial small subunit ribosomal RNA
Source: RNAcentral